This 253-nucleotide ribosomal RNA is filed under the name uncultured bacterium. Its description in RNAcentral is "partial 16S ribosomal RNA". It matches the Rfam family "Bacterial small subunit ribosomal RNA", at positions 524 to 776 of the family's 1533-position model. The record is from RNAcentral.
UACGAAGGGGGCUAGCGUUGUUCGGAAUUACUGGGCGUAAAGGGCUCGUAGGUGGCCAACUAAGUCAGACGUGAAAUCCCUCGGCUUAACCGGGGAACUGCGUCUGAUACUGGAUGGCUAGAGAUUGGGAGAGGGAUGCGGAAUUCCAGGUGUAGCGGUGAAAUGCGUAGAUAUCUGGAGGAACACCGGUGGCGAAGGCGGCAUCCUGGACCAACACUGACGCUGAGGAGCGAAAGCCAGGGGAGCAAACGGG